GCGGGGCCCCGCGGAGGGGCCCGGCUUUGUGGAGGAUUAGAGGCUCCCGCCCUACCCUACCUGCGUGUGUGUCGCCUGUCUGGAACCGGGAGCUUCCCCAGCUGAGGACCACAGUGAGAGCAGAGAAGACCCAGGAUCGUAUUUGAAACCAUAAAAGCCACAUGAAGACACUAAGAAUAACUUGCAGAAAGACAUUUUCUAUGAAUUGAACACAGAGUCCCAAAACCCAGAAAGUUCCCUGGUCUCUAUCUCAUGGGCCCGUGUCUGGGGAAGGGGGCCCGAUGUGAGGCUGGGGCCAGUGCCCAUCCUAUUUGAUCUUUAUCUUAAAUCCACUUCAAAAUGCUGUGGCUUGGUGGAUUGAAGGUUCGCCCCUUCCUGUAAUUAUUUGGUGUCUGGUAAAGUUUUUAUGAGUGUUUGUGCAAA
Homo sapiens (human) is the source of this 423-nucleotide long non-coding RNA. Ensembl annotates it as LMX1B divergent transcript. Its record names the gene LMX1B-DT. The record is from Ensembl. NCBI's taxonomy places the organism in Eukaryota, Metazoa, Chordata, Mammalia, Primates, Hominidae.